CUCUGAUGUGUAUCUUUCUAGCUUAAAACUAACAAGUUUGUUUGUGUUCCGUGGUGUAUAAGUUAUAAAUGGCACAAAGUCGAAAAACGUUUGGGAGAAAAACAGCCGCUCGGAAGAUGUUCUAAGAAGCUACAUACAAACACAACUUUACGGCGAGCAAUUUGAUGAAACUUUAAAUCAGCAAAUAUCAAUCAAAAUUAAAUGUU
Drosophila ananassae is the source of this 206-nucleotide long non-coding RNA. RefSeq lists it as uncharacterized. Lineage: Eukaryota; Metazoa; Arthropoda; Insecta; Diptera; Drosophilidae. The record is from RefSeq and is a predicted model, not a curated record. The transcript is spliced from 2 exons.